UACGUAGGGUCCGAGCGUUGUCCGGAAUUAUUGGGCGUAAAGGGCUCGUAGGCGGUCUGUUGCGUCGGGAGUGAAAACUUACAGCUUAACUGUGAGCGUGCUUCCGAUACGGGCAGACUUGAGGUAUUCAGGGGAGAACGGAAUUCCUGGUGUAGCGGUGAAAUGCGCAGAUAUCAGGAGGAACACCGGUGGCGAAGGCGGCUCUCUGGGAAUAUCCUGACGCUGAGGAGCGAAAGUGUGGGGAGCGAACAGG
Molecule: ribosomal RNA, 253 nt
Filed under: uncultured bacterium
Lineage: Bacteria
Description: partial 16S ribosomal RNA
Rfam family: Bacterial small subunit ribosomal RNA
Source: RNAcentral